Molecule: ribosomal RNA, 253 nt
Filed under: uncultured bacterium
Lineage: Bacteria
Description: partial 16S ribosomal RNA
Rfam family: Bacterial small subunit ribosomal RNA
Source: RNAcentral
UACGUAGGCAGCGAGCGUUGUUCGGAGUUACUGGGCGUAAAGGGUGUGUAGGCGGUUUUCUAAGUUUGGUGUGAAAUCUCCCGGCUUAACCGGGAGGGUGCGCCGAAAACUGGGAGACUAGAGUGCGGGAUGGGAGAGUAGAAUUCCUGGUGUAGCGGUGAAAUGCGUAGAUAUCAGGAGGAACACCUGCGGUGUAGACGGCUUUCUGGACCAUUGUUGACGCUGAGACACGAAAGCGUGGGUAGCAAACAGG